GGCCCAACUCCUACGGGAGGCAGCAGUAGGGAAUCUUGCACAAUGGGGGAAACCCUGAUGCAGCGAUGCCGCGUGAGUGAAGAAGGCCUUUGGGUUGUAAAGCUCUUUCGUCGGGGAAGAAAAUGACUGUACCCGAAUAAGAAGGUCCGGCUAACUUCGUGCCAGCAGCCGCGGUAAUACGAAGGGACCUAGCGUAGUUCGGAAUUACUGGGCUUAAAGAGUUCGUAGGUGGUUAAAAAAGUUGGUGGUGAAAUCCCAGAGCUUAACUCUGGAACUGCCAUCAAAACUUUUUAGCUAGAGUAUGAUAGAGGAAAGCAGAAUUUCUAGUGUAGAGGUGAAAUUCGUAGAUAUUAGAAAGAAUACCAAUUGCGAAGGCAGCUUUCUGGAUCAUUACUGACACUGAGGAACGAAAGCAUGGGUAGCGAAGAGGAUUAGAUACCCUCGUAGUCCAUGCCGUAAACGAUGUGUGUUAGACGUUGGAAAUUUAUUUUCUGUGUCGCAGCGAAAGCAAUAAACACACCGCCUGGGGAGUACGACCGCAAGGUUAAAACUCAAAUGAAUUGACGGGGACCCGCACAAGUAGUGGAGCAUGUGGUUUAAUUCGAAGAUACGCGCAGAACCUUACCAACACUUGACAUGUUCGUCGCGACUUUAAGAGAUUAAAGUUUUCGGUUCGGCCGGACGAAACACAGGUGCUGCAUGGCUGUCGUCAGCUCGUGUCGUGAGAUGUUGGGUUAAGUCCCGCAACGAGCGCAACCCUCACUUUUAGUUGCCAUCAUUUAGUUGGGCACUCUGAAAGAACUGCCAGUGAUAAGCUGGAGGAAGGUGGGGAUGACGUCAAGUCCUCAUGGCCCUUACGUGUUGGGCUACACACGUGCUACAAUGGCAUUUACAAUAGGAAGCAAGACGGCGACGUUAAGCAAAUCCUAAAAAAAUGCCUCAGUUCGGAUUGUACUCUGCAACUCGAGUACAUGAAGCUGGAAUUACUAGUAAUCGCGGAUCAGCGCGCCGCGGUGAAUACGUUCCCGGGUCUUGUACACACCGCCCGUCACACCAUGGGAGUUGGUUCUACCUUAAGGCAAAGUUUAAUACCUUUGACCACGGUAUAGUCAGCGACUGGGGUGAAGUCGUAACAAGGUAGCCGUAGGGGAACCUGCGGCUG
Molecule: ribosomal RNA, 1162 nt
Filed under: marine metagenome
Description: bacterial SSU rRNA
Rfam family: Bacterial small subunit ribosomal RNA
Source: RNAcentral